This 468-nucleotide ribosomal RNA is filed under the name uncultured bacterium. RNAcentral's name for it is "partial 16S ribosomal RNA". It matches the Rfam family "Bacterial small subunit ribosomal RNA", at positions 28 to 507 of the family's 1533-position model. The record is from RNAcentral.
GACGAACGCUGGCGGCGUGCUUAACACAUGCAAGUCGAACGGAAAGGCCCUGCUUUUGUGGGGUGCUCGAGUGGCGAACGGGUGAGUAACACGUGAGUAACCUGCCCUUGACUUUGGGAUAACUUCAGGAAACUGGGGCUAAUACCGGAUAGGAGCUCCUGCUGCAUGGUGGGGGUUGGAAAGUUUCGGCGGUUGGGGAUGGACUCGCGGCUUAUCAGCUUGUUGGUGGGGUAGUGGCUUACCAAGGCUUUGGCGGGUAGCCGGCCUGAGAGGGUGACCGGCCACAUGGGGACUGGGGUACGGCCCAGACUCCUACGGGGGGCAACAGUGGGGAAUAUUGCACAAUGGGCGGAAGCCUGAUGCAGCAACGCCGCGUGCGGGAUGACGGCCUUCGGGGUGUGAACCGCUUUCGCCUGUGACGAAGCGUGAGUGACGGUAAUGGGUAAAGAAGCACCGGCUAACUACGUG